CUGUGCAAAGGUAGCAUAAUCAUUAGUUUUUUAAUUGAAGACUUGUAUGAAUGAUUGAACGAGAUAUAAGCUGUCUCAUAAAAAUUUUUAUUGAAUUUAAUUUUUUAGUUAAAAAGCUAAAAUAAAUUUAAAAGACGAGAAGACCCUAUAGAUCUUUAUAAAAUUAUUUAUUGAUUUUUUUAUUAGAUAAAUUUUAUUUUAAUAAAUUAUUUUAUUUUGUUGGGGUGACAUUGAAAUUUAUUUAACUUUCAAAAAUUUUUACCAUUAAUUUAUGAAUAAUUGAUCCUUUAUUAAGGAUUAAAAAUUUAAGUUACCUUAGGGAUAACAGCGUAAUUAUUUUGGAGAGUUCAUAUCGAUAAAAUAGGUUGCGACCUCGAUGUUGGAUUAAGAUUAAUAUUGGGUGCAGUAGUUCAAUAUAUUAAGUC
RNAcentral lists this ribosomal RNA (425 nucleotides) under Teuchophorus temasek. RNAcentral describes it as "partial 16S ribosomal RNA". The record is from RNAcentral. Lineage: Eukaryota; Metazoa; Arthropoda; Insecta; Diptera; Dolichopodidae.